CCGGCGAUGUCCGAAUGGGGAAACCCAGUGCAAUUCGUUGCACUAUCGUUAACUGAAUACAUAGGUUAACGAGGCGAACCGGGGGAACUGAAACAUCUAAGUACCCCGAGGAAAAGAAAUCAACCGAGAUUCCCCCAGUAGCGGCGAGCGAACGGGGAGCAGCCCAGAGUCUGAAUCAGCUUGUGUGUUAGUGGAACGGUCUGGAAAGUCCGACGGUACAGGGUGAUAGUCCCGUACACCAAAAUGCACAGGUUGUGAACUCGAAGAGUAGGGCGGGACACGUGGUAUCCUGUCUGAAUAUGGGGGGACCAUCCUCCAAGGCUAAAUACUCCUGACUGACCGAUAGUGAACCAGUACCGUGAGGGAAAGGCGAAAAGAACCCCGGCGAGGGGAGUGAAAAAGAACCUGAAACCGUGUACGUACAAGCAGUGGGAGCACCUUCGGGUGUGACUGCGUACCUUUUGUAUAAUGGGUCAGCGACUUAUAUUCUGUAGCAAGGUUAACCGUAUAGGGGAGCCGCAGGGAAACCGAGUCUUAACUGGGCGUUAAGUUGCAGGGUAUAGACCCGAAACCCGGUGAUCUAGCCAUGGGCAGGUUGAAGGUUGGGUAACACUAACUGGAGGACCGAACCGACUAAUGUUGAAAAAUUAGCGGAUGACUUGUGGCUGGGGGUGAAAGGCCAAUCAAACCGGGAGAUAGCUGGUUCUCCCCGAAAGCUAUUUAGGUAGCGCCUCGUGAAUUCAUCUUCGGGGGUAGAGCACUGUUUCGGCUAGGGGGUCAUCCCGACUUACCAACCCGAUGCAAACUACGAAUACCGAAGAAUGUUAUCACGGGAGACACACGGCGGGUGCUAACGUCCGUCGUGAAGAGGGAAACAACCCAGACCGCCAGCUAAGGUCCCAAAGUCACAGUUAAGUGGGAAACGAUGUGGGAAGGCACAGACAGCCAGGAUGUUGGCUUAGAAGCAGCCAUCAUUUAAAGAAAGCGUAAUAGCUCACUGGUCGAGUCGGCCUGCGCGGAAGAUGUAACGGGGCUAAACUGUGCACCGAAGCUGCGGCAGCGACACUAUGUGUUGUUGGGUAGGGGAGCGUUCUGUAAGCCUGCGAAGGUGGCCUGUGAGGGUUGCUGGAGGUAUCAGAAGUGCGAAUGCUGACAUAAGUAACGAUAAUGCGGGUGAAAAGCCCGCACGCCGGAAGACCAAGGGUUCCUGUCCAACGUUAAUCGGGGCAGGGUGAGUCGACCCCUAAGGCGAGGCCGAAAGGCGUAGUCGAUGGGAAACAGGUUAAUAUUCCUGUACUUGGUGUUACUGCGAAGGGGGGACGGAGAAGGCUAUGUUAGCCGGGCGACGGUUGUCCCGGUUUAAGCAUGUAGGCGGAGGUUCCAGGUAAAUCCGGUACCUUUUUAACGCUGAGGUGUGAUGACGAGGCACUACGGUGCUGAAGUAACAAAUGCCCUGCUUCCAGGAAAAGCCUCUAAGCAUCAGGUAACAUUAAAUCGUACCCCAAACCGACACAGGUGGUCAGGUAGAGAAUACCAAGGCGCUUGAGAGAACUCGGGUGAAGGAACUAGGCAAAAUGGUGCCGUAACUUCGGGAGAAGGCACGCUGAUAUGUAGGUGAAGCCCCUGCGGGUGGAGCUGAAAUCAGUCGAAGAUACCAGCUGGCUGCAACUGUUUAUUAAAAACACAGCACUGUGCAAACACGAAAGUGGACGUAUACGGUGUGACGCCUGCCCGGUGCCGGAAGGUUAAUUGAUGGGGUUAUCCGUAAGGAGAAGCUCUUGAUCGAAGCCCCGGUAAACGGCGGCCGUAACUAUAACGGUCCUAAGGUAGCGAAAUUCCUUGUCGGGUAAGUUCCGACCUGCACGAAUGGCGUAAUGAUGGCCAGGCUGUCUCCACCCGAGACUCAGUGAAAUUGAACUCGCUGUGAAGAUGCAGUGUACCCGCGGCAAGACGGAAAGACCCCGUGAACCUUUACUAUAGCUUGACACUGAACAUUGAGCCUUGAUGUGUAGGAUAGGUGGGAGGCUUUGAAGCGUGGACGCCAGUCUGCGUGGAGCCAACCUUGAAAUACCACCCUUUAAUGUUUGAUGUUCUAACGUUGGCCCCUUAUCGGGGUUGCGGACAGUGUCUGGUGGGUAGUUUGACUGGGGCGGUCUCCUCCCAAAGAGUAACGGAGGAGCACGAAGGUUAGCUAAUCCUGGUCGGACAUCAGGAGGUUAGUGCAAUGGCAUAAGCUAGCUUGACUGCGAGCGUGACGGCGCGAGCAGGUGCGAAAGCAGGUCAUAGUGAUCCGGUGGUUCUGAAUGGAAGGGCCAUCGCUCAACGGAUAAAAGGUACUCCGGGGAUAACAGGCUGAUACCGCCCAAGAGUUCAUAUCGACGGCGGUGUUUGGCACCUCGAUGUCGGCUCAUCACAUCCUGGGGCUGAAGUAGGUCCCAAGGGUAUGGCUGUUCGCCAUUUAAAGUGGUACGCGAGCUGGGUUUAGAACGUCGUGAGACAGUUCGGUCCCUAUCUGCCGUGGGCGCUGGAGAAUUGAGGGGGGCUGCUCCUAGUACGAGAGGACCGGAGUGGACGCAUCACUGGUGUUCGGGUUGUCAUGCCAAUGGCAUUGCCCGGUAGCUAAAUGCGGAAGAGAUAAGUGCUGAAAGCAUCUAAGCACGAAACUUGCCCCGAGAUGAGUUCUCCCUGAGACUUUAAGUCUCCUGAAGGAACGUUAAAGACGAUGACGUUGAUAGGUCGGGUGUGUAAGCGUAGCGAUACGUUGAGCUAACCGAUACUAAUGAACCGUGAGGCUUAACCUU
RNAcentral lists this ribosomal RNA (2801 nucleotides) under Klebsiella aerogenes. RNAcentral describes it as "partial 23S ribosomal RNA". It matches the Rfam family "Bacterial large subunit ribosomal RNA". The record is from RNAcentral. Lineage: Bacteria; Pseudomonadati; Pseudomonadota; Gammaproteobacteria; Enterobacterales; Enterobacteriaceae.